Molecule: ribosomal RNA, 433 nt
Filed under: uncultured bacterium
Lineage: Bacteria
Description: bacterial SSU rRNA
Rfam family: Bacterial small subunit ribosomal RNA
Source: RNAcentral
AGCGAACGCUGGCGGCAGGCCUAACACAUGCAAGUCGAACGAACCCUUCGGGGUUAGUGGCGGACGGGUGAGUAACGCGUGGGAACGUACCUUUUGGUUCGGAACAACACAGGGAAACUUGUGCUAAUACCGGAUAAGCCCUUACGGGGAAAGAUUUAUCGCCGAAAGAUCGGCCCGCGUCUGAUUAGCUAGUUGGUGAGGUAACGGCUCACCAAGGCGACGAUCAGUAGCUGGUCUGAGAGGAUGAUCAGCCACAUUGGGACUGAGACACGGCCCAAACUCCUACGGGAGGCAGCAGUGGGGAAUAUUGGACAAUGGGCGCAAGCCUGAUCCAGCCAUGCCGCGUGAGUGAUGAAGGCCCUAGGGUUGUAAAGCUCUUUUGUGCGGGAAGAUAAUGACGGUACCGCAAGAAUAAGCCCCGGCUAACUUCGUG